AUGCUGAACAGAGCGCCAAGCAAGGUUUGGAGAUUCUGCAGCUGUCACCCCCAGCGUCUCUGUAGGAUAGCCUCGUGCCCCUCUUCACCCAGGUCUGCAGGAGGGUGGCAGCGCGGCUUGAGAAGGCUGGGUGGCGGAGCUCGGAGGCGUGCAGUGUUCCCACCACACUGCGGUGGCUCAACUGCCCGGGCUGUGGGGUUUCCAGCUGGGUCAUGUUGACUUGAACCGACUCAGCAGGCGGUGACCCCCUGGAGCACCUGAAGCCUUCAGAGAAAUAUGAUGGAAAACCAAGAGGCCUCCACCUCCCUGACUUGCUGCAACCUCCUGGGCUUUGCAGUCGGGCUGCUUUUGCAGAUGCACUCCUCAAAGCUAGCUCGGCAGACAUUUAUUUUUAAAUAUACAGGAAGCCAAAGACGUUGAGAGAAAAGCCGCCUAAUGCAUUCCUCCGCUCAUCUCCAAAGUCAUCGCUAGUUUUCUAGACGCGAUUUUCAUCGGUCUUUCCGAAGACAGAAAGAGCCUCCUCUACAUAGGGCUUCCUUCUUUGCCUUCAUCUGUAAUGUGAGCCUUGCCCUAGGUUGCCUCUUUCUCUACUUGCUCUGUCUGCUUCACAGUUCUCCUGUCAUUUCAGCAGUUGUACCAUGCUUUUUGUUGUUAGGAAAUCACAAAUUGUGAAACACAUUCAAGUGAGCACAUUUAAAAAUAACCUAGGCUUCUCUACUAUUUAGGUAAGGCCACUUGCUUGUUUGGGGUUGCUAAUGGGAAUAAGAGGCUAUGUGUGAUUACCUCUAGAACCUGCUUGUUUGCUCUGAGGAAAGUUUUAUUGAACAGCCACAGGCUGCGUUCCAGAACAUUGGCCAAACACUUUGCAAAUGUGUGCCGUUGGGUCCUAGCACCGUCCACUCCACUUCUGGGAAAGGAAUAUGCCCUGGGGACGGAGGUCUCUUUGCAGAAUGCCAACGUGGGCUGCAAACUCAUAAGACUUUUAAGGAGUGGUUGUGGACCCCUGAUAAAAGCCCGUUGUCAUUUUUAGCUUCUGGAAAUCCACAGGUCUCUAAUUUUGUAAAAGGUGCUUUCCAUGCUUGCGGUCUAUUCUCCCAGGGAAAUUUAGUCUGAAUACUGUGUUGCAGGGUGGUGGUUGGAGGAUAAUUGCUGAUACAUUGUGGGCCCAGAAUAGAUUGGUCACGUUGUAUUUCUCUCUUUUCACCCUAACAAAUCAGAGACCAAUGGUAUUGUUCCGAAUUUGGAGUCUGAGAGUCUCAACCUCGCCUUAUCCUUCACCAGCCAGGACAGCGGCUAGGACUGAAGGUGCGUGUAUCCGUGUUUUCCUCCCGGCCACCCUGUUCCCCGCUCUGUCCCUCACUGAUCUGUGCAUAAAUUGGGCAGAUCUACUUAAAUCUGCUUUACACAGCAGGCUUUUAUAUAAGCGUUCAUUUGAAAACUGAGAGAUGUGUAAAGGCUUUUUAGCUUUGUUUUGAGAUAGAUAGGGUCUCACUCUGUCACCUAGGUUGGAGUGCAGUGGUGGAAUCAUGGCUCACUGCAGCAUCGACCUCCCAGGCUCAAGUGAGUCUCUUGUCUCAGCCUCCUGAGUAGCUGGGACUAAAGGAGCACACCACCACUCCCAGCUAAAUUUUUUUCAUUUUUAUUUUUAGUAGAGACAAGGUCUCACUAUGUUGCCCAGGCUGGUCUCAGACUCCUAGCUCCAAGUGAUCCUCCUGCCUCAGCCACCCAAAGCAUUGGGAUUUCAGAUGCCUGGCGCAUAAAUGCCUAUAGAUGUUGAAAAGGGAAGGGAACGUGAAGGAAGUUCCUCACCUGGGCACUCAGAGGAGGUCUCUCAGGCAGGGAAUGGACAAGGUAUACGAGCCAGCUCACAUCUGUGGUUCCUCCUUAGGCUCAUGGAAGCUCGUCCAUAAGGCAUAGAUUGGUUCAUGAUAGCGAUCAGGAGAAUUGUCUUGGUGUCAGGUACCUUGGUGCCUGGCUGCUGUUCUGUACCACGUGGCCUCCAAGGGUGGUUGGGCUCUAGGACUCAGGUGAUCUGACUCCUAGAUCAUCUGAAAAAGAAAACGAUGUUGAGGCUUCUUUUUCUACAGAGCCACCUAAAUUUAAAGUCUGAGAGGCUGAUAACUACGGCUGCCAAUUAUGACGUGCUGAGCAGUGUGCUACACAAGUUCCAUCCUCUGCCUUGAGUUCUCGUAGCAACCUUCUGAUACAGAGAGUCUAUUCUUUAACAGAGGAGAAAAGAAAUAUGAGCUGGUGAACUAGGAUGAUUUGACCAGACUCACACAGCCGGAGACUAUCAACUCAGAACCCAGUCUCCUGGGUCUUGAUGUCUUAAUCGGUUUGGGAUCUUAUAACAAAAUACCUGAGGCAGGUGGCUUAAACAGCAGACAGUUAUUCCUCCCACUUCUGGAACUGGAAAUCUGAGAACAGGGUACCAGUGUGGUGGGUUUUGCGUGAGGAUUCUGUUCCUGGCUUGGGGAUGACUGCUUUCCCACUGUCUUCUCACGUGGCACAGAAAGAAGCAAGCCUCCUGUGGUUCCUUUAGAAUCCCAUCUCAAGGCCGUCAUUCUCCUGACCUCAUCUAAACCUUCCCCCUCCCAAAGGCGGAACCUCCUAAUACAUCACCUCAGGAGGUAGGGCUUCGGCAUAGGCCUUUGGCCCAGGGGGGUUGGGGAUAGACAUUCAGUCCAUAGCACUUGGGUUUGCAAUCCAUGCCUUAACCGUAGACCUUCACAGCCUUGCUCAGCAUAGAAAAAUCUCAGUGUGAUCUGACAAACACCAUCAUGAGGCCAGCAGAGCUUCCCCAUAUGAGAGGAUGGAGGUAGGCAGGUGAGCCGUAACUGCCCAAACAAGGCCUCACCCUUUGGUUAACGGGUUGAUGGUAUUCACUUUCCCUCGAGCCUCACACUUGAGGUUUAAGAGCUUGUUCCCAGCCUGGUGAGGUAGCUCAUGCCUGUAAUCCUAGCACUUGGGGAGGUCUAGGUGGGAGGAUCACUUGAGGCCAGGAGUUUGCAACCAGCCUAUGGGCCACAUAACAAGACCCCAUCUCCACAAAAUUAAAUUUUUUAAAAAGUUAGCUAGGUACGGUGGUGCUCACCUGUGGCCCCAGUUACCAGGGAGGUUGAGGUGGGAGGAUCUCUUGCCCCCAGGAGGU
RNAcentral lists this long non-coding RNA (3151 nucleotides) under Macaca mulatta (Rhesus monkey). RNAcentral's name for it is "lncRNA (ENSMMUG00000062982.1)". The record is from RNAcentral. Lineage: Eukaryota; Metazoa; Chordata; Mammalia; Primates; Cercopithecidae.